UCCUUUUAAGGGUGACAUACAUGCAGUCGAGCGGACAGAAGGGAGCUUGCUCCCGGAUGUUAGCGGCGGACGGGUGAGUAACACGUGGGUAACCUGCCUGUAAGACUGGGAUAACUCCGGGAAACCGGAGCUAAUACCGGAUAGUUCCUUGAACCGCAUGGUUCAAGGAUGAAAGACGGUUUCGGCUGUCACUUACAGAUGGACCCGCGGCGCAUUAGCUAGUUGGUGAGGUAACGGCUCACCAAGGCGACGAUGCGUAGCCGACCUGAGAGGGUGAUCGGCCACACUGGGACUGAGACACGGCCCAGACUCCUACGGGAGGCAGCAGUAGGGAAUCUUCCGCAAUGGACGAAAGUCUGACGGAGCAACGCCGCGUGAGUGAUGAAGGUUUUCGGAUCGUAAAGCUCUGUUGUUAGGGAAGAACAAGUGCAAGAGUAACUGCUUGCACCUUGACGGUACCUAACCAGAAAGCCACGGCUAACUACGUGCCAGCAGCCGCGGUAAUACGUAGGUGGCAAGCGUUGUCCGGAAUUAUUGGGCGUAAAGGGCUCGCAGGCGGUUUCUUAAGUCUGAUGUGAAAGCCCCCGGCUCAACCGGGGAGGGUCAUUGGAAACUGGGAAACUUGAGUGCAGAAGAGGAGAGUGGAAUUCCACGUGUAGCGGUGAAAUGCGUAGAGAUGUGGAGGAACACCAAUGGCGAAGGCGACUCUCUGGUCUGUAACUGACGCUGAGGAGCGAAAGCGUGGGGAGCGAACAGGAUUAGAUACCCUGGUAGUCCACGCCGUAAACGAUGAGUGCUAAGUGUUUAGGGGGUUUCCGCCCCUUAGUGCUGCAGCUAACGCAUUAAGCACUCCGCCUGGGGGAGUACGGUCGCAAGACUGAAACUCAAGGAAUUUGACGGGGGCCCGCACAAGCGGUGGAGCAUGUGGUUUAAUUCGAAGCAACGCGAAGAACCUUACCAGGUCUUGACAUCCUCUGACAACCCUAGAGAUAGGGCUUUCCCUUCGGGGACAGAGUGACAGUGUGCAUGGUGUCGUCAGCUCGUGUCGUGAGAUGUUGGGUUAGUCUCGCACGAGCGCAACCCUUGAU
This 1088-nucleotide ribosomal RNA is filed under the name Bacillus sp. HQB358. Its description in RNAcentral is "bacterial SSU rRNA". It matches the Rfam family "Bacterial small subunit ribosomal RNA", at positions 33 to 1109 of the family's 1533-position model. The record is from RNAcentral. Lineage: Bacteria; Bacillati; Bacillota; Bacilli; Caryophanales; Bacillaceae.